CAACGAGCGCAACCCACAUCCCUAGUUGCCAGCAGNUCGGCUGGGCACUCUAUGGAAACUGCCCGUGAUAAGCGGGAGGAAGGUGUGGAUGACGUCAAGUCCUCAUGGCCCUUACGGGUUGGGCUACACACGUGUCUACAAUGGUGUCUACAGUGGGUUAAUCCCCAAAAGACAUCUCAGUUCGGAUUGUCGUCUGCAACUCGACGGCAUGAAGUCGGAAUCGCUAGUAAUCGCGUAACAGCAUGACGCGGUGAAUACGUUCCCGGGCCUUGUACACACCGCCCGUCACACCAUGGGUAGUUGGGUUCACCCGAAGGCCGUGCGCCAACCUUUACAGGGGGCAGCGGACCACGGUGAGCUCAGCGACUGGGGUGAAGUCGUCACAAGGUAGCC
This 393-nucleotide ribosomal RNA is filed under the name uncultured bacterium. Its description in RNAcentral is "bacterial SSU rRNA". It matches the Rfam family "Bacterial small subunit ribosomal RNA", at positions 1090 to 1501 of the family's 1533-position model. The record is from RNAcentral.